GAUGAAGAACGCAGCGAAAUGCGAUAAGUAAUGUGAAUUGCAGAAUUCAGUGAAUCAUCGAAUCUUUGAACGCACAUUGCGCCCGCCAGUAUUCUGGCGGGCAUGCCUGUCCGAGCGCCAUUUCAACCCUCGAACCCCUCCGGGGGGUCGGCGUUGGGGACCUCGGGAGCCCCUAAGACGGGAUCCCGGCCCCGAAAUACAGUGGCGGUCUCGCCGCAGCCUCUCCUGCGCAGUAGUUUGCACAACUCGCACCGGGAGCGCGGCGCGUCCACGUCCGUAAAACACCCAACUUCUGAAAUGUUGACCUCGGAUCAGGUAGGAAUACCCGCUGAACUUAAGCAUAUCAUAAGCGGAGGA
RNAcentral lists this unclassified non-coding RNA (357 nucleotides) under soil metagenome. RNAcentral describes it as "partial contains 5.8S ribosomal RNA, internal transcribed spacer 2, and large subunit ribosomal RNA". The stretch from base 1 to 120 matches the Rfam family "5.8S ribosomal RNA", at positions 35 to 154 of the family's 154-position model. The record is from RNAcentral.